GCCCGUGUUGUACUGACAUAAACUAUACGGGCUUAGCAGACAUGGAGGCCCGAUUAAUGACCGAGGCCCAUUCCGACCCGUCUCGGCUCAGCUAACGUUGUGUUGGAGAAGAGUCCAGUCGCGUUUGGGGAUAUCAAAGAUACCAAUUGCUGUCAGUUGGGAACAUAAAUACUGUGGCGACCAUGUUGAUACGCACGAAGGGAGGAUUUUGAUCCACAUAAUGUGAACACUGUUGUACUCCUACGGAGCUUGAAGGACGGAGAAAGAGGGCUGGGCAGCCAGGAAAGGAGCCACCAAACAAGGAUUGCUUUUCAGCUUCCCCAAUAUCCCCCUUCACCCCUAUCCCGUCUCCUUCUGCACCACGGCUUUUCCCU
Long non-coding RNA from Oncorhynchus tshawytscha (Chinook salmon), 374 nucleotides. NCBI's taxonomy places the organism in Eukaryota, Metazoa, Chordata, Actinopteri, Salmoniformes, Salmonidae. The record is from Ensembl.